AAGCUAAUGACUAUCGGCUAGUAAAAUAACUCUGACGCAGUUAUGCCCACAAACAGGCCGGCUCACCUAGCUAACUCAAAAUUGCACCAUUGUGGCUUAGAGUAGUUACUCACACACAAUAUAUUCAUAUCCGUUUUCCAUACAUUUAUUAUGCAUAUUGAAAACUGUUCGACGAGAUGAUUUUAUACCGUGUUAUUGCUAUUUUGGUGAACGCAAUCUCGGUUUGUCAUGUGACUGAAAAUUAAUAUCAAUAUACUCAGAUACAUAGAUAGCU
Molecule: unclassified non-coding RNA, 274 nt
Filed under: Moritella viscosa
Lineage: Bacteria; Pseudomonadati; Pseudomonadota; Gammaproteobacteria; Alteromonadales; Moritellaceae
Description: putative sRNA
Source: RNAcentral